Molecule: ribosomal RNA, 497 nt
Filed under: uncultured bacterium
Lineage: Bacteria
Description: partial 16S ribosomal RNA
Rfam family: Bacterial small subunit ribosomal RNA
Source: RNAcentral
GAUGAACGCUGGCGGCGUGCCUAAUACAUGCAAGUCGAGCGAACAGACGAGGAGCUUGCUCCUCUGACGUUAGCGGCGGACGGGUGAGUAACACGUGGAUAACCUACCUAUAAGACUGGGAUAACUUCGGGAAACCGGAGCUAAUACCGGAUAAUAUAUUGAACCGCAUGGUUCAAUAGUGAAAGACGGUUUUGCUGUCACUUAUAGAUGGAUCCGCGCCGCAUUAGCUAGUUGGUAUGGUAACGGCUUACCAAGGCGACGAUGCGUAGCCGACCUGAGAGGGUGAUCGGCCACACUGGAACUGAGACACGGUCCAGACUCCUACGGGAGGCAGCAGUAGGGAAUCUUCCGCAAUGGGCGAAAGCCUGACGGAGCAACGCCGCGUGAGUGAUGAAGGUCUUCGGAUCGUAAAACUCUGUUAUUAGGGAAGAACAAAUGUGUAAGUAACUAUGCACGUCUUGACGGUACCUAAUCAGAAAGCCACGGCUAGCUACGUG